RNAcentral lists this ribosomal RNA (326 nucleotides) under uncultured Euglyphidae sp. RNAcentral's name for it is "SSU rRNA". The stretch from base 105 to 326 matches the Rfam family "Eukaryotic small subunit ribosomal RNA", at positions 732 to 955 of the family's 1831-position model. The record is from RNAcentral. Lineage: Eukaryota; Cercozoa; Imbricatea; Euglyphida; Euglyphidae.
GAUUUCUGGUAGACUCUGCUGGCCCGGUCCUUCACGGGACUGAGUGCCGGUACGGGUCUGUCAUCAUUCUAGGGAGCCUUGCCUGCCAUUCACUUGGCUGGGCAUGUUUUGCGAACUAGAUCUUUUACUUUGAAAAAAUUAGAGUGUUUAAAGCAGGCUUACGCGAUGAAUACAUUAGCAUGGAAUAAUAAUAUAGGACUUAGGUUCUAUUUUGUUGGUUUCUAGGACCGAAGUAAUGAUUGAUAGGGAUAGUUGGGGGUGCUAGUAUUCAGUGGCCAGAGGUGAAAUUCUUGGAUUCACUGAAGACUAACUACUGCGAAAGCAUU